ACUCAAAUGAAUUGACGGGGACCCGCACAAGCGGUGGAUGAUGUGGAUUAAUUCGAUGCAACGCGAAAAACCUUACCUACCCUUGACAUGGUUCGAAUCUUUCAGAGAUGAGAGAGUGCUCGCAAGAGAACGGAUACACAGGUGCUGCAUGGCUGUCGUCAGCUCGUGUCGUGAGAUGUUGGGUUAAGUCCCGCAACGAGCGCAACCCUUGUCGGUAAUUGCCAUCAUUAAGUUGGGCACUUUACUGAGACUGCCGGUGACAAACCGGAGGAAGGUGGGGAUGACGUCAAGUCCUCAUGGCCCUUAUGGGUAGGGCUUCACACGUCAUACAAUGGUGCAUACAGAGGGUUGCCAAGCCGCGAGGUGGAGCUAAUCUCAGAAAGUGCAUCGUAGUCCGGAUUGUAGUCUGCAACUCGACUGCAUGAAGUUGGAAUCGCUAGUAAUCGCGGAUCAGCAUGUCGCGGUGAAUACGUUCCCGGGUCUUGUACACACCGCCCGU
RNAcentral lists this ribosomal RNA (499 nucleotides) under uncultured bacterium. Its description in RNAcentral is "partial 16S ribosomal RNA". It matches the Rfam family "Bacterial small subunit ribosomal RNA", at positions 899 to 1397 of the family's 1533-position model. The record is from RNAcentral.